UGCUCUUCUGAUCUCCAGGGCUGUCCUUCUACCCCUUCCCCCCAAACACGAGAUCUUCCUUUGCUCCGAGGGGCUCCCUUGGAGCCUGUGUUGGUGUCUGUCCAUCUGUCUGUCCUACCCGCCCGCGUCCAAUCCUGGGGCGCGGACAGGGCCGGGGCUGUUGCCCCCACGUAUGUUGCCCUCCUCCCCACCGCAUCCCGUCCAAUGUUUCCGCGGGUGUAGCAUGUUCUAUGUAUUUUUAAACGAAGACCAGAAAGCGACGGCUCCCUCCACACAUCCCCGACAGAGACUCUCCGAGGGCCCCCCGGGCAGCCCAGAGCCCCCCACCCAACUCCCACAACGAUCCCAAGAACGUUUGUUGUUUUGUUUUGUUUUGUUUUUAAACCAAAACCAGGAGCCAGGCUGUGCCAUGCCCCCUCCCUCAGCCGGCCCAGUCCGAACGCGGGCGUCGUGUGUCGUGAUUGUGGCAUGGAGAGUCCCCCACCCCCCGUGUGAGCGUGUCCUGGGUGGGCGGGCCCGGGCGCCUCCCCCCUUCGCGUGUCCACGAAUAAAGCCAAUCUGUCUGUA
Molecule: long non-coding RNA, 567 nt
Organism: Felis catus (domestic cat)
Lineage: Eukaryota; Metazoa; Chordata; Mammalia; Carnivora; Felidae
Exons: 3
Source: RefSeq, a predicted model, not a curated record